RNAcentral lists this ribosomal RNA (1527 nucleotides) under Triticum aestivum (bread wheat). RNAcentral describes it as "partial small subunit ribosomal RNA". Lineage: Eukaryota; Viridiplantae; Streptophyta; Magnoliopsida; Poales; Poaceae. The record is from RNAcentral.
AUGGCUCACAACUUCGUGCCUGAUGCAUGGGGUUGGAUCAGCAGCCUGCCCCCAUUCUCCCAGUGGCGCACCAACACCAUGUCCCUCUGCAUCUGCGCCACGCCUUCAGCGUCGGCGUCAUCACAGCCGGCAUCAAUGACCCUCUCGGUUGCCAAAACACCUCCCACCCAGCCUUCCUACCUCACCUUCUCCAUCUCCGCCAACUACCGCGAGCCGAUAUUCCUGUGGACGUCGAAACCGGUCCACCUGAAAACCAAGGCGCAGCAAUCCCUGGACGAGCAAGACAUGGUGCAGCUGUUCGUCGACGUCGUGAACCAGGUGUUGCGGUACGGGCCAGACAACAGCAGCAAGCCGUCCUUCCGGUUCCCCAGGGGGCAGCAACUCCAUGGCGGCAGCUUCAGCGACGGGUUCAACAUAGUCUUCUUGUCCCUCGCCUUCCUGGUCUGCAUCUACGAGGCGCCUCGCGACCUCCGCCACGGGUGCCUGGACUCGCUGAGGACCCAGCUGACCGGUCCAAAGUGCAGAGGCGCUGCAAAGACCCUCGUCAAAAUGCUCGGCGCGAACCUCGAGGACCAGUGGAUGCAGACGAUGAACCUCGCGGUGACCAACUGGAUGGUUGAGCUGCGGUCCUCGCACCACACGCCCAGGGCAGCGUCACCGCUCUUCUCGUACGCCCUCCAGGCAAGCGGGCUCUGGAAGGUCCAGCUGUACUGCCCAGUGAUCGCCAUGGGCAUGGAGGAUCCUGCGGCAGCGGUGGCGCAGGAUGAGCGCCUUCUCUUCUCACUCACUUAUCAGCAACUUGAAGGCGUGGUCCAGCUAGCCUACAAAACAGUCAGAAGGGAUAACUGGAUUGAUAUCGAGGUAAAGGUGGAUAACAUAAGGUGCGACGUGGACCCUUUGGUCUCCGAGACCCUCAUGGCGGAGCGCGGAUAUGGUUCUGAAGAGAAGCAUUUCCCAUCUCGUGUCAUGCUGCAGAUCACACCUAUGCAACAAACAGAUGUACUGUCAGUUUCAGUCAGCAAGUCAUCCGACAACCCCACCCACGAGUUCGGUAUUGAGAAGGGCUUUGAGGGCUCGUUCGAUCCCCCACACUCAUUUGGUCUCAAGGCCUCUGUCGCUGAAAGCCUCACGCUGGCCAUGAAACCCUGGAAAUUCGAGCAGUCCGUGCACGGAAACACCGCAACCUUGAACUGGUUUCUGCACGACGGCAUGAACGGGAGGGAGGUUUGUGCUUCAAAGCCUUCCAAGCUUUCGCUGCUUCAGCCGAGGGCUUGGUUCCGUGACAGGUACUCAAAUGCGUACCGCCCAUUCACAAAGCAGGGUGGAAUCAUUUUUGCCCGCGAUGAGUAUGGAGACAGUGUAAACUGGAAGGUCUGUGGUGCGGCAUUAGGAAAGACUAUGGACUGGGAAAUCAGAGGCUGGAUUUGGCUAACCUACUGGCCAAACAAACAAAGGACCUCUCACAGUGAGACAAGGUGGCUUGAAUUCAGAGAAUGUCUGCAACUUCCCCUUACAAAGUUUCCAUAG